RNAcentral lists this unclassified non-coding RNA (231 nucleotides) under soil metagenome. RNAcentral's name for it is "partial internal transcribed spacer 1". The record is from RNAcentral.
UUGAAUUUUAAUGAAGAGUUUGGUUGUAGCUGGCCCAUUCAUUAGGGCAUGUGCACACCUUCCUCUUUCAUCCCACACACACCUGUGAACCUGUGAGACAGAGAUGGGGAAUUUACUUGCUGCUUUUUGGAAUACAAAGGCAAUAGGUUAUUGGACCCCCCCUCUGUCUACUCAAUUAAUAUAACUCAAUUUAUUUUAAAACGAAUGUAAUGGAUGUAACACAUCUCAUAC